This is an RNA transcript of Epinephelus moara (kelp grouper), 3807 nucleotides long. It is a transcript of the gene named leucine-rich repeat-containing protein 14, with no coding region annotated. NCBI's taxonomy places the organism in Eukaryota, Metazoa, Chordata, Actinopteri, Perciformes, Serranidae. The record is from RefSeq and is a predicted model, not a curated record. The transcript has 6 exons.
UCCCUGCUCGCGCUCCCUGCAGCAGCAGCAGCAGCUUCCUCAGUGAGAGUUUGCCGAGUUAGCUAACAUGUUCCAGCGUGUAAUAUUUCACCAGCGAAAGGUUUCCGUUUUAGGUUAUUGCUGUUAAUAAUACGAGCAGAUAUCAGAUGAUGUUAUAAAAUCUUUUUUGGGGCUUUACAGGACCGCUUCACAUUACUGUCCUGAAGCUAAUCUUAGCUAGUUUUAGCUAGCUAGCGCAGUAAAGUAAAGUCUGCUUCCUUUGCUGAGGGAUAGGACGCAAUAUUACGGUAGAUUUAUAUUUUUUAUGUUAAAAAGUCAGCGUGCUUUGUGCUGAAAUGGUGCUUUCUUUGGUGAGGCUUUGUGCUAAGGAGGUGGUGAGUGACCACAGCUCAUCACCCUGCUGGCUGAGGUGGGUUCCCAGGGAGCUGUACAGACCGCUGCUGGAGGCCUCCUUCACCAGCUGUAGACCGCUGGCUGUGAACGAGCUGGUGCAGAGGUGGCCUGAACGCACCCUGCGUGUCGGCGGAAGGAGGAAACAGGGGCAAACUUCGCCAAAUCGACUCUGCAUCCAGGCUCUGCUACUUGCAGUAGUCAGAGGGCUCUCGGACCAAAGGUGUGCGCUGCAACUUCUUGACCUCUGUGGGCUGCAAGGAGAUGAAGGAGGGACGGGAGACCCCAUGGGAGGCUGGUCUCUGACUGUAGCUCUGUGCACCAUGGUGGUUCAGGCCAGAGCUGGAGCACAGAGGGCACAGAGGGAGAGGAAGAGGUUCUCAGCUCUGGAGAGAGAGAAGGAUGUGAAAAGAGAGAGGGGACAGCGGAAGAAGGGAAAGGAAACAAAUGUUGAGGGGAAUGACAGAGAGAGCAUGGGGUCAUGUGGGAUCCUGAGCGAAGAGGAGCUGGCUAAGGGUGUCAGGAGGAGGAUGGAGGCAGAGCGGAAAACAGGGACUGCAGUGACAGGUGUGGGAGGCAGUAGAAAGGAGACAGAUGAAAAAGAAGUAAAUAAUGAUGUGGUGGUGCAUGUGAGAGCUGAUCUUUUUGUAAACGCUCGAUCCUGGGAGCGUGUUCGCGGGGCUCUGAACACACAGGGGCCCCUCAAGCUUCAGUGCAGAUAUCUACGUGUGGAAGAGAUUUCAGUUUCUAGUAUCAAGACUCUGCUAGGCCUCCUGCCUCCGCAGGGUCUUCUGGGCAUUGAUGUCCGCUACAGCAGCCUUGGGGUGGCCGGUUUGGCUGAGCUGCUCCCUCUGCUCUCCACCUUCCCUGCACUGAACUCUCUUCGCCUGCACUACUGUAACUUGGAUUUUCGCAGAGACCACGCUGGCCAGGAAGAGACCCUGAGGGAGUUAUGUCAGGGGCUGACACAGCUGCGAGAACUGAGGCGCCUCAGCCUCACUGCGCUGCGCCUGCCUGGACAACUGCGUGUGUUGCUUAGCUCUCUGCCUCAGCCUCUAGAGAUACUGGAGCUGCCCUAUUUGAGCCUGAGCCCUGCCGACCUCGCCUAUCUGUCCUGCAGUCAUCAUGCUUCCACACUGCAGCAGCUGGAUCUAAGUGAGAACCGUCUGGAUGAGAACACCCUGACCUCCAUUCGCCGCCUCCUCUCCCAGGCUUCUACUAGCCUGCAGCACCUCUCCUUAAGUGGCUGUGGCCUGACUGAUAGCCUGCUGAGACUCUUGCUGGCCUCGCUGGGAGGCUGCAGGGCCCUCAAGAGCUUGGCUUUGGCCCUGAAUCCACUCUCCAUUGCUGGCCUCAUGGACCUGGUUAGGAUGGCUGUGAGAAUGCCCUCUCUCCGUCAGUUACUGUACCCCAACCCCCUGGAGGACUACCAGCCGGGCCUCCCUGACCUGCCCUCAAGUGCUCAGCUUUUAGACUGGCCGCUGGAUGAAGCCACAGACAUCAACAUUACCAGCAGCCAGCUCAACAGGGUGCUGAUAGACAGCGGGCGCUCUGACCUCUUUCUGACAUGCGACCUGCUCAAUUAUGAUAAAGACUUGGUGGACUAGGGCAGAAGUGAAGUGAAGGAUACAGGUGCUUUUUAGUUCCUUACCAGCAUACGCCCGCACAAUGUACAUACACCUGACAAUCAAAAUGUCACCCUAAUAACGGUCUAGUAUUACAUCUUUUUUAUCUUUUUUUUUGACACCAUCUAUCUCAUGUGAAGGUCUUAUAAGCCAGAGUUAACAGUGAUGGCGGGGUUAGGGGGAAGUCAGUGGGCCUUUCCCAUCUCUUGAUUUUGUGCCUCCUUGUCUCCUCCGACUUGUGACCUGAAAAAUUAUCUCAGCACUCCAUUUUGAAGUAUGUGCCAGGUCCUAAAAUGCAUCUAGAAGAGCGAGGAGGCUUGUCGAAGGACGGCACGACUUUUCGGCACCUGCAGUAUGUAUAAGGGACAUGAAGCACAGCUGAUGAUGCAGCCGUGCCACAUGUCAUAUUUAAUUGGUGUGGCUUUAAAAUAACGGCUUUGAAGCACUGCCUCAUUUUGUUACAUGCCUUUUUCCUUUGACUCCUCUCUCCUUUUGUCUCUUCCUUGCCUCCUCUGCUUGCAUCUCAGAUGUAAGACUAAGAUGCAAGGAGAGGAGGCGAGGAAAUAAUAGAGGAUGCAUGAAUUGAGAAAUGGGGAAGGCCUGUUGUAUCGCCAAAGCAAUAGGUUAUUGUUGUUGUGAGGUAAGGUUUGCUCCUCUGGGGAUGUUGGGAAUGCAGUAUUUAUUAUUUGUUGGCCAGACAAAAGGAGACAGAGGUGACCACAUACAAAAACCUUUACUCCUUAUUAUUUAGCCAUGCUUCAGUAAAACGGAAGUAUACUACUUUAAAUCGUUAACUUGUUGACUGAUUGAAAUUAAAUUCUUGCUUAUGCUGGUUUUGUACCAAACAUGACUUAAUGCUUUAUAAUCAGGUUAACAGGAUAGCUGGGAUACUAAGAUCCCUCUGGUUGGAGAUUACAGGCUGUCUGCCCUCGUACCUUUACAACCAUCAGCAGUAUUUUCUUUAUACAAGCCAUUCACUCAAAAUCAGUGUUUGGACAGCUAUUACAUACUACGCUUCGACAACCAAAACUACAACUUUGACAGUGGUUUCUUUUUAUAAUGUAACAGGAAAUGAAUGUAACAACAAAAUACUUAAAUGCAUACCAUCUAUUUGAUUGUUUUCCAUACAGUAAUGUACUUUGUCUUUGUGCUGAUCUAAUUUACAUAUUUGUCAUAUUGUAUUUCUUGAGCGUUUGUUUUGAAUUGUCCAGGACAUUUCUUGUAUUCACACAGCUUGUUUAUCAAAAAGUAUCACCGUCAUCAGGAAACGCGUGUACCAAAUCAACCUUGUACCACAUGAAUGCGUUUACAUACUGUGUUAAUGGCAGUGUUACAGACUAAGAGGCAUCAUCUGUAGUACUCUACGUACGACUGCUGCGGAAUGAAGUAGCGGCGAGGUGUGACCUUCACCCAGUCCUCGUCUGAGUAGAUGUGAAAGGGGAGAAGAGUGACCCGAGCAAACGGCAAAGAGAUGAAUUUGGGGCAGUGCAUGAGGAAGGGACGGUUUCUCAGUGGAGGCAGAAUUAAUCCUGUAUGCCAAGAAUCUGCUCUGUCAUGGAGGCUCUUCCAGAUGUUAGACUGGUCCUGCAGCUCCGAGUCCCAGCUCUCCAACUCUGGCCACAACCACUGCUCAACCUCAUUUACACCUAAUGCAGAAUCUUUAUAGGCUCAGGACAGACAUCCUCCAUUAAGGUUGGAAGAUUAUGAGGCUUGUCAUCAUUUGGUUCAGGAUAAACUGAGUUUAUCUCAAGUUUAUCUGGGUCAAAGGUGUCCUCCAAAUCAAUCUGAAAAC